RNAcentral lists this ribosomal RNA (330 nucleotides) under Listeria monocytogenes. RNAcentral's name for it is "partial 23S ribosomal RNA". It matches the Rfam family "Bacterial large subunit ribosomal RNA", at positions 607 to 935 of the family's 2925-position model. Lineage: Bacteria; Bacillati; Bacillota; Bacilli; Caryophanales; Listeriaceae. The record is from RNAcentral.
UUUGUAGAAUGAACCGGCGAGUUACGAUUUGUUGCAAGGUUAAGCGGAAAAAGCGGAGCCGUAGCGAAAGCGAGUCUGAAUAGGGCGCAUAAGUAACAGGUCGUAGACCCGAAACCAGGUGAUCUACCCAUGUCCAGGAUGAAGGUAAGGUAAUACUUACUGGAGGUCCGAACCCACGCACGUUGAAAAGUGCGGGGAUGAGGUGUGGGUAGCGGAGAAAUUCCAAUCGAACUUGGAGAUAGCUGGUUCUCUCCGAAAUAGCUUUAGGGCUAGCCUCGAGGUAAAGAGUCAUGGAGGUAGAGCACUGUUUGGACUAGGGGCCCUUCUCGG